GACGAACGCUGGCGGCGUGCUUAACACAUGCAAGUCGAACGGAAAGGCCCUGCUUUGGUGGGGUGCUCGAGUGGCGAACGGGUGAGUAACACGUGAGUAACCUGCCCUUGACUUUGGGAUAACUUCAGGAAACUGGGGCUAAUACCGGAUAGGAGCUCCUGCUGCAUGGUGGGGGUUGGAAAGUUUCGGCGGUUGGGGAUGGACUCGCGGCUUAUCAGCUUGUUGGUGGGGUAGUGGCUUACCAAGGCUUUGACGGGUAGCCGGCCUGAGAGGGUGACCGGCCAAAUUGGGAUUGAGAUACGGCACAGACUCCAACGGGAGGCAGCAGAGGGGAAUAUUGCACAAUGGGCGGAAGCCUGAUGCAGCAACGCCGCGUGGGGGAUGACGGCAUUCGGGUUGUAAACCGCUUUCGCCUGUGACGAAGCGUGAGUGACGGUAAUGGGUGAAGAAGCACCGGCUAACUACGUG
Molecule: ribosomal RNA, 468 nt
Filed under: uncultured bacterium
Lineage: Bacteria
Description: partial 16S ribosomal RNA
Rfam family: Bacterial small subunit ribosomal RNA
Source: RNAcentral